AUUGAUUACCGCUGCUGGAAGGCUGUGCGUAAUUAGACAUCAUACCGUAUAUAUUGCCGCAGAGCUUCUUCAUACUGUUCAACUCUUUGUUGAGCUGUAAAUUCUCCAAUCUUAACCGUUCGUUUUCUCCUAAAAGCUCCGCUGUGCUCCCUGCAGAUGAGUUUGAUGAUAUAACUUGCUCUUCACAGGAAUCCGAGGUAGAUACCGUCACCGGAGGUUGAGCAGGCGGAGGUGGUGGCGCCGGCNNNNNNNNNNNNNNNNNNNNNNNNNNNNNNNNNNNNNNNNNNNNNNNNNNNNNNNNNNNNNNNNNNNNNNNNNNNNNNNNNNNNNNNNNNNNNNNNNNNNNNNNNNNNNNNNNAUCCCGUCCCGGGAGGUUGAGCGGGCGGAGGUGGUGGCGCAGCCACAAUCGCCACCGCUGUUGCAGCAGCGGAAGGAGUAGCAAUCGCUGUCACAACCUUUCGACGCUGGAUAUCAAUUAAGUGACUUCUUUCACCUCUCCGGAAGCUGUCGUUUGCGAAUUCCCAUCGAUCAGGUACGACUUUCCGAAAUCCCUGCAUAACCGAAGAAAAGCUUAAUUUAAUCCAUAUCCCUCAGGUCUAAUCUUAGGAUUUCAGAUAAAAAGGAACUUACAUAGGUGUUGAGCUGCCUAACGAAGCUAGAAAAAUUAUUAUGUUUAAAAUAUUUAGGAAGCAAAUCUUUAGCAAACUCCGCCGGAUUCCACACGAUGAAAGUAGAUCCGUCUUCAUUCCAAGAGAUCACGUCGUCAAUAGAUUGAUCCUCGAUGAGCUGGUAGGUCUUUGUUAAAAACGGUGUCGGCACGGACCUCUGCGUUUCACCGGCCGUCGUCUCUCCUCCGUUCCGGUCUAUUGGCUGUGGAGUCAUAUCUUCUUAUCACCUGAAAAGCUAAUCAAGUCCGUAUUGAAUUCAACUCAUCAAAAACCAUUUUCCAGCUAAUAUAAUAAUAGUAACACCAAAACUACGUACUUGAGUGAAGAUCGAUGAUUCUAUUCUCGCAGAUCUGGAGCCAAAACUACAGAGUUCCGAGAAAGACGACCGUCGGAAUUUUCGGUGAUUCUAGAAGUUUCCGGCGCCACAUAGAGGUGCGUGGGUGUGGGGUGGGUAGGAACAAGGAGAGAUGGGAAGAUAAUUGGAAAAUUCGAGAAGGAAGAAAUAGAGAAAGGGGAAAAUAUUAUAAAAGAAAAAAGCGAGAGUAAAAAGAAAGAAGCAAAAGCUACAUUAUUUUAUUAAAAAUAGAACUAAAGUAGUAGACAAACGUAUUGUCUUUCGUGAAGCUUCUUUUGAUGACAGGCUCUACGCACCCACAGAUGAAUAGGCGAUGUAUAUUUGGGCUACUCUAAUUUAUUUUAAACAAAAUAGAGUAAACAAUAUUUAUUUAUUUUAACAUAGGAAUUGGUUUGGUAACGAAACUACUCGCACCACUAUUGUUUCAUUUUACUUGAUCCUAAUAUCAAAAUUUACUAUAGCAAAUAAAGAUGUUUUUUUUUCUUACUAGCUUUAGUAUUAAAUAAUUAUAUAAGUAGUCAAAUUUAGAAUUUUAAAACUGAAUAAAAAUCAUUCCUAAUUAAAAUUUUAUUAAUAUAAUGACUAAUAUGCAAUUCAUGUAUCAUGCAGAGGCGUAAGGCGUAUCUAGAGGGGGUGCCGUGGGUUCACGUGAACCCAUGCUCCCCUCUCUAGAUCAUAUAUAGUAGUGUUAUAUUUUUAAAAAAAUAUUUAAAUAUAGAUAUGUGAACUCAUGUUCAAAGUAUCAUAUAAAAAUGCGAUGAUGAUUUGGUGCACUUCUCUAAGUGAGAGAUAGAAAUUUAAAUCUUAUAUUUAUCUUGUCUCUUUGAGUAAUACUUUUUCAAGUGGUUAUCAUUACGGACUUUUUAUCGGUUUCAACUAAUUUUCUUUGUUUUUCCUUAUUCUUUCAAAAUUUUCAAGUGUGUUACAUUGAGAAUUCCUAAAAAAAUUAGCAUUGUAAAUUUUUUAUAUAAUUAAAUCAAAUGUGUAUAUUAAAAGUUAAAACUAGUAGUAUUAUAUAUUUUGGACCUAUAAUUUUAAACUUUAAUGAUUCAUAUUACGAACUAAAAGUCAAAUCGAUCAAAUUUAUAUUAGAGAUACAUUUUUUCGUAAUCGUGCAUCCAUCUAACCGAAAUUCUGGAUACGCCUCUGGUAUCAUGUAUGCACAUAAUCGAAGACUCAUGUGAACGUUGGACUCUUUACAGACCUAGGUCACUUUAUGUAUAAAAGUAAUUAAGUCAAAUCUCUAUAGUAAAAGAUUUAGUGCAAAAUAUAGAAGGAUAAAGACUUACUUGAUGUGAGAAAAUAUUUUUGAAUGAUCAAAAGACAUACAAUGAAUAAUAUGACAUAACUGAAAUCUUAAUGAAUUAAGUCAAACAUAUAUAAUGAUUCAUUGAUCUAUUCAUUAUCAACCUGUUCACCUAAAAAAAUAAGAGUAAAUUAGACAUAACUAUCAACUUAAACUAUAUUAACUUAAUGCGUUUAUGUAUUACGUGGAUAGUAGAGGUUUGAUGGGUUUGGCAUGAUCCAUAUAACUAUUAACUGAAACUAUGCUACAACAACACAUUUAUGUAUUACGUCGAUAAUAGAGGUUUGGCAUGAUCUAUAUAAAAAAAAAUGGAGGGGAAAUUAUCUUUGGCAUGAAGUAGCCCACUUGUUUAUUUUUGAAGAAAAAAAGUUGGAAUGAUGGAAGGUGUGUUUGCCAGCUGUCCUGUGCUAUUUUUGGUACCGCAAAAUAGGACGAAAUACUGGGAAUUUGGACUAUUUUGGCCUGGCCUAAUCAACUUGCAACUCAAUUAUAUCCUAAAGAUUUUAUCGGACGCUCUAUUUUCAUCGCCUCGAUUUAAGUGAUAUUCGCUUUACUUAUUUGCACUCUUGUUUCUUCUGCUUCUACAUUUGUAUCUGUAUUUUGGUUAAUUUUAAUGUACUCAUAUUUUAAUCAUGUAUAAUUACUAUAAUGAGUUUGUUAGAUUUGAAACACUUUUAAUGCUUCUAGGUCUUUUUCAAAACACUAUUUAGAAAAUACAUUUGUAGCACUUUUUAAAAACCUAUCAAUAUUUUAAAUUAAUUAAUCAAUACAAACAAUUUUUCACCAAAUGUUUAUUUUAAAGUUUUGAUUAAACAAGUUGUUAUAAGUACUUUUAAAUGUUUAGUGAAAUAUUAAGUUGUUUAAGGUUGUUUUUAAAAUUGAUUUAUCAAGUACUUAAUUGUUUCUUAACAUAAAUAUUUUUUUUGUAAGAAAAGGCUCAUAAAAUUAGCCAUUUUACAGGCCUCAUGUAAUUAAAAAUAGUCACGGUUAAAAUAUUGUAGUGAAUGAUCCAGAAUUCCAACCGUACUAUUUGGAAUUUCAAAAUCCCACCUCCAAAGAAAAGAAUUUAGAAUUUCAAAUUGCUAAAAAAAUUUUCAAGUGUAAAACUUGACACAUAAUUAUUUUAUAAGAAAAGGCUCAUCAUUUUUUAAAUUCGAAAAUGCAGGUGAAAAAAUGUUUGUAUUAACGAAGGAUUAGUUACUACUGAUGUUGAUUAAUGAAUCUUUAUUAAAUUACAUAUAUUUGAAAGUCAGUAAUCACAAACAUUUAUAAAAGAAAUAUGGAGAUAUGUUAUUUAUUAAUAUAACAUCUUAGAAUAUUUUGAUAUAUCGUUUAUAAUCUAUAAUUUACUUAUUUGGUAAGAUUAUACAAAAAUUGAAAUAUUUUUAACCGUUUCCACAACUUGUAGGGUCACAUGUUUAUAAAAAAAAAAAUAUACAACUUAAGUAAUUCAAAUUGCAUGUUCAGACAAAACUUUAACUUCAAAUCAUAUCCAAACGUAAUAGAUUAUUUUUCAAGAUAUAGUUGACAAGUAGCCGGUAAUUGUUAUUUCUACCCAUUAUAUGAAUCACUUUUCUUGCAAUACUGGACUUAAUUAUAUACUUGAAUUAGGAAGACAAAAUGUAGCACUAAGAAUAAGGAGAAAAACUUUUUAAAACAUUUGUUAUGUUGCUCUCCCAUUGUGAAGGGAGGGUUCUCAUUUAUCUGGAAGACAAUAGGAUUGUAACCCGGGGCGGAGGUAUCCUUGCCUAAUGGGUGUCAAGCAACACCUCUUCGCCAGAAAAUUACAUUGUAUAUAUAUGUUAAAUUUUGUUUUAAUUAAUAUAUAUAUAUACAACUUGUUACACCAACCAUUUCUUUUUUCUUUUUUGAACAACUAAAAUGAUAUGCACAUUACUAGCUUUCUGGUAUAUGUCAUUCUUAAUGUUUUGACACCCCUUAAUGAAAUUUUUGACUCCACCACUGCAUUGUUGACACAUACAAACAUAGAAAGGGAUACCACCAACUACCAAGAAAGAAGAAAAUGUUUUGUAGCCACACAUUGACCCUGGGACCUCUUGAGUUUAUGUUGUAAUUCACAGCCAUCCAUCUACAGGUCUGGAUUACACAAUAUAUCCAAGUUUCUCUAUAAGCUUAUCCAAUUUGGAUUUGCAAUUUAGAUGGAGAAUGAAAAAAAAAAAAACUUUCAUUUAUCCAAGGAAGUUGACCGUCUCUUUGUAGGGAAAACGCCUUACAGAAGCAUUUCAUCUGUCCAUAUACAAGUUGCACCACUAGCAACAUAUUUAAUUCCACAUGUGGGAUCCGAGGAAGGUAGUUAACCGUACCUUCGGAGGUAAAGAGGUUGUUUCUGAUAUACUCUCGGCUCAAGGAAAAUCAUAUAAGGCAGAUUGGAAAAGAAAUAACUGAAGUGAAUGAAUCAUGGCAAAAUACUGUAGUAAGCAUGACAAAGUAUUCUGAAAAAGGGAACAGUAACUACACCAAAAAGGGUGUGACAAUUGAAGUACAAAAUACAAUAGAUAGUAACAGAAAUCAACGGUGUCUCACUUGAAUUAUUGCAUGUCUCAGGCGAAAAUUAAAUAUGUCAAGACAAUUCUUGAUCUAAUAGCAACUGAAUUAAGCAGGAUGGAUAUCUACUAGAACAUUAAGUUCUUGCCUAGCCAGCAAAACACAUGGACUGUUGACAAAUAACAUAUAUGGACAGCAGAAGAAAUCAUCUAAAGUUCAAGUAGUGUGGACAGCAGCAGAAGUUUCUAAUGUUAAAAGAAAUAUAGUUUGAUCACAGCUUCAUAUAAAGUUAGUAAAAUUAAGCAACAUCAGCAAGCUGAACCUGAAGCUUUCCUGCUACAUUGUCUCUAUCCCAAAUAUUGAACAUUGUAAAACUUCAUUUGUCAUAAACCAAAGCAGCCUUUAUAAUUUGAUGGAUAACAGAUAUGCAACUCUCCAAUUCUUCUCAUAGUUCUUAAGCUGCAUCGAAAUAACAUCUUGCAAGUGCCAGUAAUAACUAGCUUUAAGCAAAUACCUAAUGAUUCUUUUUUUAUAAUUAUGAAAUUCUAAUGAAUAAAGUAUGACUAUUUAUUGUUUGUCUCCUACAAAUGUUGCACAGAACAUACUUGAAUUACCAAAAGCCAACAUAUAAUCAUACUCAAACCCCUCCUACAUGCAAACAAACUCUAACCACGAAGGUAGGGUCACACAUUAUCUGGAUGAUAUCAUAAGAUAUACAUAGAAAGGGCCACGACUAAGAAAUGUGUAUUCUAUAGCUCCCCCACCACCCCCAAAAAAAAAACUUUAUCUUCCCUACCUUGAUAUGGAUCCCAUGGCUCCUCAAUAUUUAUGUUCAUAUGUGUCCAACAGACUCUAAAUUCAUAGCCAUCCAUCUUUAGGCCUUGAUUGCAGAAUGUGGCCAGAUUUCACGCAGCUUAUCCAUUGUGAGUUUACAGUAAGAUAAAGACAGAUGAGAAUGAAUUUUCCACGUUUUCACAAAAGGUGCGACGACGUCAUUCUCAUUGUUUCUUUGCAGGCAAGUGCUUCCAAAGAAGCAUUCCGUCUCCCUCUCCUCCUCUACUUUUCUCUGAGUUCAUUUCAGAAAAGAACAUGGUGCCUCAAUAAUUUCAUGUAAUGCUUUGUUCCUCUUUUACCACACCUAAGAUACUAAAGAAUUGAAAUAACUCCUAAUUACCAACUUAUACUAAUACUAAACUAGCAACUGAAUGAACACACUCAAACCUCAAGCGUGAGCCUUAACCGUCUCAUACUCUCAUUGGACUUUUAAGAAAUUACAACAACUAUGUUUUUUCCCCAAACAAGUUGGGGUGAGCUAAAUGAAUCAGAAUUGACCAUGUUACUCCUAUUUAUCCCAUCUCAUGCAAAAUUAUGCAGCUACAAAUAAAAAGUAUUAGAAGUUCUCUAUAUUUUUGUUUUUUUUUGACAAAGGUAACAAAGAAGUUCUCUAUAUUUCUGAACGAUAUCCUCAAGGUUAAAUAACUCCUAGAAAGCAUAGGACCUACUGUAAAAGUGCUACAAUGUUUAAAGCAUAUUAUCCACUGAUAGGUUUUAAAGAUCUUUUCUUCCAUUCUGUCUUAUCUUUCACUAAGUUUAUACGAAACUAUGGAUCGCCAGAGACUGCAGGUCCUUCAAGAUAACUUCCUACCAUGUGAUUUUAGGUCUACCUCGUCCUCUUUUAAUACCUUUACUCACUAUGGUUUCGUAAAACAUACCUACAGACUGGUGCAUUCAGAGGUCGAAGCAUGACAUGACUAAACCAUCACAAGUGACUUUUUCAGAAAUUACUAAGCAACUAAAAUUUAAAAAUUAAAAGGAAAAGAGACUGAUAGGAUGUCAUUAAAAUUGAGCAAGCUAGCAUUCCCAUUGCACUAAAGGGUAAAGGGGAAAAAGAAACAGGGAAUAACAAUACCACAUUUUAAACUACUAGGAAAAUGUGUUUCUGAACAUAGAAAGCUUGCAACUUCCUGGCAUCAAUAUAUCCACUCUGUUAAUAUUAUGUGUAUUUGUUCAUAGGCAAAUAAAUGGGGACAGAGAAUCUAGUGAAUUUUUAUGCCAACAAUAACACACCUAGACAAUUAAGAUGUAUAGAUUGCACCAUAGGAAAGAAAUCAGAAUUCUAUUCUAAGCAUGAUUUUAAUAUGUCAAGACAAGGCUUGAUCUCGUAGCAAGUGAAGGAGGACCAAUAUCUACUCUAACAUGAGAAUCUAGCAUAGCCAGCAAAACAUUAGUGCUGUUAACAAACAAACUAUAAACACCUCACGAACACUACCUAAAAAUCAAGAAAUAUAGUGUGGUCACAGUUUUGAUGACAUGAGUUGAGCUGGAACCCUUGAGGAUUCAUAUAGACAACCCUAACUUUUGAGACUGAGGCAUAGCUAUUUCUUUUUGAGAGUGUGAUCACAGUUUCAUAUAAAGCUACGAGAAUAAGGUGAGUAAGCUGAACUCUUAUAAAAAAAAAAGGUGAGUAAGCUGAACUUGAUGAUUUCCUACUUUUUUUUUAUUAAGUAAGAUGUAUUAGAAAGGCAUCAAGGAGAUGCAAAUUACAUACACAAAAACAUGGUUAACUCCUGAGAACAAAAACACUUAUUUAAUCAGGGAGUUAACCACAAGCAAAAGAAUGGUCGCUAAGCCACAUUGAGGGAGCUAAUGAAAUCUAAGAGGGGUAAUAAAUCAUUACCUACUACAUUGUCUUUAGCUCAAAUGAUGAAACUUGGUAACUUCAUUUGUGGUAGAUUAAGUUGGUCUUCUAUAGAUAAACUGAUAACAGGACUCGGACUUGCCAGUAAUAGAUACUGUUAAGCAAUAUCUGGUUUUUGAUCAGUAAGAAACAUUAAGGUAGUAUUUAUCCUUGUCUCCUAUAAUGUCGCACACAACAUACUUGAAUAACCCAACAUAAAAUCAUACCCAAACUGACCUUCACACAAACUUCUUGAAACAAUUUCUACUUCUAACAUAUAGCAAUAGUACCUUAGAUUUUGAAAUUUUCAGAGCUACAAUCAUCUGCGAAAGAGAUCCACUGUCUAAUAUCAAGAUUAUAAAAUAGUGUUAACUUUGCAGCCAUAACAAAACAAAUCCAAAUAAAGUAAUGAACUAUUUAAUUUUUACUAAUUUUGAACUUGGUACCACUUUGCAUCUACUAAUUGAACUAGAUUCCUAAUGUUAGCUUUCCAUUUACAGGAGUCAAAUGCAUAUAGUCAAAAGAUUACUUCAGUGAUGGCAGCAAUUUCAUCUGAAGUUUAACAAAGCAACGUAAGUGUUCGAUAUGCAAUAAUUUAGUUCCUCCUAAACAUACAGUGAGUCACUUACCCGCAAGGCAAAGCCAGAUUCAAUUAAUUCUUUUGCUGCUCCAGUAAAAUCUAUUGUGAAUUCACAAAGCAACAUUGACUGGAAAGGUAUAGUUUACUGCCAAACUACCCAGGCCACAGGACCAUGCUAACUGUUCUGCAUAUUUGCAUGAGACGACCAAUGGAAAAUAUAAACACAGAAGAAGCCUGCUUUUCAUAUUCUACAAUAUACAAAUGAAUCAUGCUCUGUAAAAUAUAAAUUAUCGGAAACGUCUUUGAUUAUGCAGGGCAUUCUUAUUGGUUAACUCAGAACUAAAAAUACAUGCACAUAAAGCAUGUAAAUGUUAAGGCAAGGUCACAAGUUCUGAGUGAAAUAUCAUGCCACAGUUCAAACUGUUACCACAAAGGAUCUUAAAUUUGAUCAUUUGUUUCAUCCUUAGCUCGUGAGUUCUCAAGCCUUGAUUUUUUAUUUUUAUAAUAAGCUAAUAAAGAAUGCGUAAAUAAUAGAAAGUUCUAGAGCCUUGAGCUAGGAGCAUGGCAUACAAUCUAUUAGUUUGAUAUAAAAUACUAACUAAGCUGUCUAGCAUAAAAAUUGCAUAAUGUGCUCUUUCCAUACAUCAGAAGGCAAAAAAUGAGAGGAGAAAACAAAAUAGUAUUCUAUAAAAAUUCAGAAGUUUAUCACAAAAUAUUCUAAUAAAAAUUUCAAAAGUGUCACAAAAUUGAAACUCUUAGUGGAAGGAAUAUUUUGAGGGAAAAAAAAAAGAACAGUUGAAGGGUUGUAUAGUUACAUUGUGACACACUUGUCGAAAAGCUCAUAAAAUGAGAGACCUCGGCUUCUUGAUGUGAGUCGAGUAAACAAUAGAUCAAGAUACACACAAGAUUCCCUGUCUAAAUAGAGCAAGAGUGACUGAAGUAUAUAUUGUCCAAACAAAAAGAACCCACCAGGCCAUAAACAAAGCCACCUCUUUGUCUAGCAGAGAACAAGGCAAUACGCUACAUACCCCUUCGUAAUUUGUAAGCAAAUCGUCACCAAGUUGAGACAAGCCAAGGAAGAUAAGUACCAUUGAUGCAGGCAAAAAGAAUUGCAGAACCACAAGGCAUACAAAGUGAUUGUGCAGGAACACCUUGGCCCUACUAUAAGCUAAGUCAGGAACUUUGCUAGCGUGCAGUCUUUGAUACCAACACAAUACUGCUUCAUUCAAGUACAUCUGCACGUUUGAUCGCAACGAUACAAUCUGCAAUAAGCCCGAAACCAACAAACACCAUAGCCUAAAGCUACUAAAUUCCGACUUCUGCAUACCCACAUUUCCAACCAACUUUGUAACAUUUUCAAUUCUUGAAUUUUUAUCAAUAAGUAAUAGGUCAGUAAACGGUUUCACCCAAAGCAUUGAUGUCAAAACCAUGACCAAAUAGUUAGCAUGAAGAAGCAAUCGCGCAAACCAUCCACACGAAACAAUAGGCAAAUUACAACGAAGCUGAUCAGUUCCAAGCCAAAAGGCAUGAGCAAUUCUCACUGCUGGCAUAUACAAAAAACAUGAAAUACAGCCCAUGAAAAUUGCAAUAAACAACUUCUCAAACCCAUGUAAUGCUUCAAAAUGAACAUCAAAAACCCAUUUAGGAACUGCCCCAUGUACAGUACCAAGCGAUACAAUAAACCCAAGAAAACCCAAAAGAACACUCAAAUGCUUCUCCGACAGCUUAGAUGCAGAUCUUUCAAACGAAACCCUAAAAAUCAAAACGAAAAUCCUGCCAACACCCAAAAACCCAAAUAAAAUCGGAACAAAAGAACCGCUCUUUAACACCCCAGACUCUUCAGAUUUCGGCAAGAAUCGAUGAAGCAACAAACAAGAAAGAGAAACAAGAAUAGAAUUAAAAACACUACGAAAAUCCUCGAAAUAAAUCCUUGUCUGAAGAUGACCAUCACUAAGCUUUAACCUAAAGAUCUGAGCUUUAUUUUCAUCAAACUCAAAUCUUUCUUUGGAUUUCUUUCUGGGUUUGAGCUCAGAAUCAUUAGUGCCUGGCCUUCGAAUGGCUGCCCGAACCCCAUUUGAAGAUGCAUUGUUUGGAGCAACAUCAUCAGGGUGAACAUAAGUGAAAAGACCAGAGAGCAAAAGUGCAGGGAUCUUG
This 10245-nucleotide long non-coding RNA is filed under the name Solanum tuberosum (potato). RNAcentral describes it as "long non-coding RNA (STUB_LNC003901)". Lineage: Eukaryota; Viridiplantae; Streptophyta; Magnoliopsida; Solanales; Solanaceae. The record is from RNAcentral.